UGGCUUUCCAGAUGUUUGGAUUAAAGGCCU
Molecule: non-coding RNA, 30 nt
Filed under: Rattus norvegicus (Norway rat)
Lineage: Eukaryota; Metazoa; Chordata; Mammalia; Rodentia; Muridae
Source: RNAcentral